RNAcentral lists this long non-coding RNA (1186 nucleotides) under Marmota monax (woodchuck). Lineage: Eukaryota; Metazoa; Chordata; Mammalia; Rodentia; Sciuridae. The record is from RNAcentral.
UUUCUUCCUCAGCCUGGGGCCAGCCCAGACUGGAUGUGGUUUCCUGUGUGUGUGUGUGUGUGUGUGUGUGCGCGCGCACGCGUGUGUGCAUGUGUUACCUGCCUUUCACUGGCCCUGAGGUUCAUGUCCACUAUGAUGAGCUCAGAACUCUCUCUCAGACCUGCUCAACAUGCCCCAAAGAGAUAGCAAGACACUUGGGCGGAAAACAGUGGGUGCCGAGGGCACACCGCUCUCCUAGGGUGGGAGUGGGAAGAGGGUAUUGCUCCUGGAACACCAGAUAAUGAUGCAAGCACAGAUAAUAAAACAACACACAUAAUUAGGAUUCUCUUCAUUGAAAGUUUUUCUCCCACCGAUUUUCUGAAAUCUUUGAUGUCUGAUGCUACCUCUAUUUUGGAAUCUGUGAUAGGUCCAUAUCUGAUUGAGCAGCCCGUCAACUAGUUAUUUUCUUUAAGUAUCUCUAGGUCUUCUCAAAGACAACCUUCCCGCCAGCCUGUCUGCCACAGGAAGUUUUGUGAAUCACUGAACCCCUGCUUCCAAGUCAGGCUAUUCUUCAGGAGGUGGGAACCCGGGAGUCAAGCUGUGGCCCUCACCCUUCCAGGGGAGCAAUCCUUCCUCACAGAGUUGGUUCAAGGCAUGAGGGGACAUCGGGCAGUGGAAGAGCUCUGUGAAAGCUGGCCCAGUCUCUUCUGGUUGGUGUUUGCAUGAGUGAACUCCACAGUGACAGUGGACAGCCUCUGUAUCAAUGUUGUGCUGGGCUUGGUGACUCAGAGAUAAACAGUACCUAACUCUGCCCCCAGGAGCCCACAGCCUGUUCUUGUUUCUGGAAGCAGACUUGGAUUCUGUGGGCCUUCUCUGCCCACUUGGUUUUCUGGGCACAGUCUGCUCCCCUGUGACUUUGAGUAAGGAGUUCUUCCCAGGCUUCCCUCCCCCGGCCUCCCAGUGCCCCACCCCCACGUGCUCAGUCUGUGGGAGUGAGAAUGGGAGGGGCCUCCAUUCACCCCAUCCAGGAGGCAACUGAGUCCAGAGAGGCUCAGAGGGUGGUCUGAAUUGUCCCCAAGAUCAAUAGCAAGGUGGCACCAUGCAAGCCCAGGUCUCUUGCCUAUUUUUUUUAAAAGUCUUUCCAAGAGUUUAUGUACAUUUAUUUUUAAUUGGAACAUAUAGUAUAAUGAUUUCAUAACAAAUAAAU